UAGAUUAUUUAUAGAUUUAAAUUUCUGUAACACUGCUAACAAUGUCAUCUUCAAUUAAAAAGGAAAGUUGUCUAGUGGUAGAAAAAGAACAAAUAAUAAGAAAUAAUGUGCUUCUGGUAGUAAUUACCACUGUUCACUAAGUAUGUCUGCUUCCCUACCCUUCUGGGCACAUGGUAGUUUUGUCCUGCCUUGAUCCAGUGAAGUUAGGGGUAGCCAUGUGACUUGCUUUGGCCAAAGAAAUGAGAGUGAAUGUGGUGUCACUUUCAGGUGGAAACUUUAAAAGCCAGUGAGGGAUUUGCCAUAUUCCUGAUUUCUGCCUAAGUGAUCAUGGAAACAUGUGAUACCCCAUAAUUCUGAAUUCCUGAAAGUACAUAGUGAACAGUCUGUGUGCAGAUCUGUGAUGGAAAGAGUGUGAGUGAGAGACAGACCUUUGUUGUUUAAGCCACUGAAUAUAAAUGAUUGCUGUUCAGGCUCAUCAAACCACCACCUGUGGGCCAGUUGCCUGUUUUGAUAAAAUUUUACUGGAACAUAGGGAAGACAUUUGUUUCUGUGUUGUCUGUGUCUGCGUUCAUGCUACAACUGAAUUGACUAAUUACAACAGAGACCAUAUGGCCUGCCAGCUGAAAAUAUUUACUAUCACUCUUUAAGAAAAAGCUUGUUGACCUCUGACCUAGGCUAUCCUAACUAUGAUAGAACUGAAAGUCUUUGAUAAGUGUCCUUUUAUGGCUACUUCCUGUUUUGUACACAACACAAAAGAUAUAGUAGCUAGCUAGCUAGCUUCCAAGAUGGCAGUGGUGAUCCCCAACCCUGAACACAAGGCUAUUCACAUCUCUGUGCACUUCCUUCCCACACUGAGCAGGGCUGACUUGUGUAACCAAUGUGGAAGUAAUGGAGUGUGACUUCCACGUUUGGGUCAUUAAAGAUCGUGUGACUCCCAUCUGCCUCUCUCUGAGACCACUCACUCUGGGAGAAGCCACUACCAUGUUCCAAGGGCACUUGAAGCCUUAGGGAGAAGCCACAUGGUGAGAAAACGAGGCCUCCUGACAACAGUUAUGUGGGUCAAGCCCUCAGAUGAUUGCAGCCUCAGCCAAGGUGUUGACUACAUGAGUGCUCUGAGCCCAAAUCACCCAGCCCUUCCAAAUUGCAGAGAAGAUUGAGCUAGAAGUGUUUUCUUCCCCCAGAGCACACUGCUGAUAUUUCUUGGCUCAUCUCACUGAGACCAGACAUGGACCCCCUGCACACAGGGUCAUAGGAUUUGUUCAGCUGUGACCAAGAAUCUCCAGUUCUAUGGCAUAGUAGCUGAAAUGGAAAACUGCAUUUUUUACCUUGACAUCUCCUCCAUCCUAGUUUUUCAGGAUUGAUGAUUGGGCAUUGUUUACAGGAGCCACGAUAUGGAAGUAGCCCAAGUGUCCGUCCGUAGACGAGUGGAUACAGAAGAGGUGGAGAUACAUACGAUGGAAUAUUACUCAGCCAUAAGAAAGGAUGAAAUCUAGCCAUUGGCCACGACAUGAAUGGACCUUGAGGGUAUUAUGGUAAGUGAAGUAAGUCAGAUGGAAGAGGACAAAUUCUGUGUGGUUUCACUUAUAGGUGGAAUCUAAAAAACCAAACGAACGAACCAACAAAACGAAAACAAAUUCACAGAUAUAGAGGAUGGAGUGGUGGUUGUCAGAAGGGAAAGGGGUUGGGGGUUGGACGAAAUGGGUAAAGAGCUCAGCUGUAUGGUGAAGGGCAGUAACUAGACUCUCUGUAGUGUAUACAAAUAUCGAGUUAUAAUGUUGUACACCUGAACCUUACAUAAUGCCAUAUACCAAUUUUACAUCAAUAAAUAUGAAAUA
Herpailurus yagouaroundi (jaguarundi) is the source of this 1835-nucleotide long non-coding RNA. RefSeq lists it as uncharacterized. The transcript has 3 exons. NCBI's taxonomy places the organism in Eukaryota, Metazoa, Chordata, Mammalia, Carnivora, Felidae. The record is from RefSeq and is a predicted model, not a curated record.